Long non-coding RNA from Stegostoma tigrinum, 905 nucleotides. RefSeq lists it as uncharacterized. The record is from RefSeq and is a predicted model, not a curated record. The transcript has 3 exons. NCBI's taxonomy places the organism in Eukaryota, Metazoa, Chordata, Chondrichthyes, Orectolobiformes, Stegostomatidae.
AAGCCUGCAACACCUCACCUGUGUGCCUGUAGUUUCCUGGAAGCAGCGUCCUAACUUGGUGUGUGUUCUGGGAAAAUGGUGGGUGCGAACUUGCUGAUGGAGGAGCUGUCCACUCUGGAGACCUGGUGGAUCUGCACAUUUGCCUCUGGUGGGUGUUUAACAUGGAUAUUGACUAUGUUUGGAGGGAACUUCACUAUAUCGUUAUGAGAGGAAAAGCAAAAAAUAAGUCUGAGGUUAAAAUAAAGACUUGGCUGUGUCCACAUUUCAACGAAGCAACAUCAAGGUGCCAGGAUACAGGCAAAUUGCAACUUCCUGAACGAAAGCAAAAUACUCCAGGUGCUUGAAAUCUGAAACAAACACAGCGAAUGCUGGAGAAACUCAGCAGGCCUGGCACCAUCUGUGGACAGAGAAACAGAGCUAACGUUUCAAGUUUGGUAUGACUCCUCACUGUCCUUGCCAGUUGUCCAAUUUAAUGUGUUUGAACCUACAACUGACAAACUCUUUCAAGGACCUCUUAUAAAAAUGCAAAGAAAGGGUAAUGGUUUAGCUGUUACUGGCAGGCAUGUCCAAGGAAAAGUGAUUUCUGUUUUAUGUAAUUUGCUUAAAGGCAGUAACUUGAAUAUAAAAUCCCUGUCUUAGAAUGAACUGAACAGUAAACAGGCAAUUCAGCCUGACUGCAACAUCCCAGAAAGACUUCUGAAGAACAGCCGUACUGGGCAACAUGGUGGCUCGGUGGUCAGCACUGCUGGGACCUGGGUUUGACUCCAACCUUGUGUAACUAUCUGUGUGGAGUUUGCACAUUCUCCCCGUGUCUGUGUGACUUUCCUCUCACAGUCCAAAGAUGUGCAGGUUAGGUGGGUUAGCUAUGCUAAAUUGCCCAUUGUAUCUAGGGUAGGGGUAGGGUC